RNAcentral lists this ribosomal RNA (254 nucleotides) under uncultured bacterium. RNAcentral's name for it is "partial 16S ribosomal RNA". It matches the Rfam family "Bacterial small subunit ribosomal RNA", at positions 524 to 776 of the family's 1533-position model. The record is from RNAcentral.
UACGGGGGGGGCAAGCGUUGUUCGGAAUUACUGGGCGUAAAGGGCCAGUAGGCGGCCAACUAAGUCCGACGUGAAAUCCCAAGGCUUAACCUUGGAACUGCGUCGGAUACUGGAUGGCUUGAAUUCGGGAGAGGGAUGCAGAAUUCCAGGUGUAGCGGUGAAAUGCGUAGAUAUCCGGAGGAACACCGGUGGCGAAGGCGGCUUCCUGGACCGAUUACUGACGCUGAGGCGCGAAAGCUAGGGGAGCAAACGGG